GACAGAGGGUGCAAACGUUGUUCGGAAUUACUGGGCGUAAAGCGCGUGUAGGCGGCUAAGUAAGUCGGGCGUGAAAUCCCACGGCUCAACCGUGGAAGUGCACUCGAAACUGCGUAGCUAGAGUCCUGGAGAGGAAGGUGGAAUGCUUGGUGUAGAGGUGAAAUUCGUAGAUAUCAAGCGGAACACCGGUGGCGAAGGCGGCCUUCUGGACAGUGACUGACGCUGAGACG
RNAcentral lists this ribosomal RNA (230 nucleotides) under uncultured bacterium. RNAcentral's name for it is "partial 16S ribosomal RNA". It matches the Rfam family "Bacterial small subunit ribosomal RNA", at positions 524 to 753 of the family's 1533-position model. The record is from RNAcentral.